AAAAAAUCUUAGAGAUAAUUAACUAAAUUAAAAAUUAAAUAUCUAAUUAAAUUUUAUCAAUUUGAUCUGAUUCAAUUAUUUAGUUAAAAUCAAAUAAUGCAUACUUUAGUUGAAGUUUAUUUAGUUAAGCUCGCCUGCUCAAUGAAAAACAAAAAAAUACAAGCGGUUAAACAAGAAAAAUUAUAUAAUGAAAUCGAUUAUAUAUAAUUAUUAAUUAUUAUGGGUCUCAUAUGAAUUACGUCAUAAUUACCAAUAAUGAAAUUAUUGUAUAUACGUCAACUUCACUGGAUAAAAAUCCGUCAAAUAGAGUGAGAUCUGAUCCUUUGAAGGUUAACCUCUGAUAAUUUAGUCAGAAUUGGGAGUAUCAUAGAAGAAAAUCUAGACCUCUUCUCCUCACUUUCCAUGUAUUAAAAGCUCCCUAAUUGGCUCGUCCAUUGAGAAUCAAUUUCAGUGAAAAAUCAUUUGUUAAAUGUCUGCCAAGACAGACUUGUUUAGAAGAGCCUCUCCUGAAUGUCGUGAAGUGUCUGUAUUUGUUCACUGAGUUGACGACAAAUAUAUUUGAUCAUUCAAUACAAGAUGUGUAGAAGUCGAGGUUGUAGAGGUUAAAUGAUACAUGUAAUUGUAUUUUAAAUUAAAAAAUUCCAUAAAUGAGUGAAUUUGGACUAAGCAAACUAUAUCAAUUAAUUGGGAGUACAUUGAAAGCAAUUAUAAACUUUUGCUCUGCAUCAGACUGAGAUUUGGGUCCCCCCAAUUAUUUGCUGAGAAUCUUGAGUCUAGGAGUGUGGAUCAUUAAACAGACUCGCUUCCCUGCUGUAUGAGUCGGAAUUUGUUCAUAUACUAAUAUUUAAGGUGGUUACUUGAUUAUGAUUGAGAAUGAGGGAAAAUUCUUGCCCAAAUAUGGAUUUAAGGCAUCUUGUAUUUUGAGUUCAUAGUGAACCAAAUCAAGAAAAAUCAGAGAAUGAAUUUGAUAAUUUUAUGGUCUAUUAUUAUUGUGACAUAAUAAUCUGUUAGGUUUAAUUUUGUAGGUUACUUUUUAAAUACUGAAGCUACAUCAACAACUCUUGACUCCGAGGGAUGGUUAAGAACUGGGGAUCUAUGCUACAUUGAUGAUGACGGCUUUAUUUUUGUUGUUGAUCGACUGAAGGAG
This 1147-nucleotide unclassified non-coding RNA is filed under the name Hevea brasiliensis (rubber tree). Lineage: Eukaryota; Viridiplantae; Streptophyta; Magnoliopsida; Malpighiales; Euphorbiaceae. The record is from RNAcentral.